This 460-nucleotide ribosomal RNA is filed under the name uncultured bacterium. Its description in RNAcentral is "partial 16S ribosomal RNA". It matches the Rfam family "Bacterial small subunit ribosomal RNA", at positions 338 to 795 of the family's 1533-position model. The record is from RNAcentral.
CCUACGGGAGACAGCAGUGAGGAAUAUUGGUCAAUGGACGAGAGUCUGAACCAGCCAAGUAGCGUGAAGGAUGACUGCCCUAUGGGUUGUAAACUUCUUUUAUAUGGGAAUAAAAUGUUCCACGUGUGGGAUUUUGUAUGUACCAUAUGAAUAAGGAUCGGCUAACUCCGUGCCAGCAGCCGCGGUAAUACGGAGGAUCCGAGCGUUAUCCGGAUUUAUUGGGUUUAAAGGGAGAGUAGGUGGAUUGUUAAGUCAGUUGUGAAAGUUUGCGGCUCAACCGUAAAAUUGCAGUUGAAACUGGAAGUCUUGAGUACAGUAGAGGUGGGCGGAAUUCGUGGUGUAGCGGUGAAAUGCUUAGAUAUCACGAAGAACUCCGAUUGCGAAGGCAGCUCACUGGACUGCAACUGACACUGAGGCUCGAAAGUGUGGGUAUCAAACAGGAUUAGAUACCCCAGUAGUC